This 83-nucleotide transfer RNA is filed under the name Gemmatimonadota bacterium. RNAcentral's name for it is "tRNA-Leu". It matches the Rfam family "tRNA". From Rfam's summary of the family: Transfer RNA (tRNA) molecules are approximately 80 nucleotides in length. Their secondary structure includes four short double-helical elements and three loops (D, anti-codon, and T loops). The record is from RNAcentral. Lineage: Bacteria; Pseudomonadati; Gemmatimonadota. RNAcentral also lists the same sequence under 1 other name.
GCCCGAGUGGCGGAAUGGCAGACGCAACGGACUCAAAAUCCGUCGAGGGCAACCUCGUGCGAGUUCGACUCUCGCCUCGGGCA